AGGGAAUUUUCGGCAAUGGGGGCAACCCUGACCGAGCAAUGCCGCGUGAACGACGAAGGUCUUCGGAUCGUAAAGUUCUGUGAUUGGGGAAGAACAGCAUGAUCAGGAAAUGGGUCAUGUUUGACGGUACCCGAUUAGAAAGCCCCGGCUAACUAUGUGCCAGCAGCCGCGGUAAAACAUAGGGGGCGAGCGUUAUCCGGAAUUAUUGGGCGUAAAGAGUACGUAGGCGGCCUGUUAAGUCUGAUGUGAAAUCCCGCGGCUUAACCGCGGAGGGUCAUUGGAAACUGGCAGGCUUGAGUACGGCAGGGGUAAGUGGAAUUCCAAGUGGAGCGGUGAAAUGCGUAGAUAUUUGGAGGAACACCAGUGGCGAAGGCGGCUUACUGGGCCGGAACUGACGCUGAGGUACGAAAGCGUGGGUAGCAAACA
RNAcentral lists this ribosomal RNA (426 nucleotides) under uncultured Bacillota bacterium. RNAcentral's name for it is "bacterial SSU rRNA". It matches the Rfam family "Bacterial small subunit ribosomal RNA", at positions 356 to 774 of the family's 1533-position model. Lineage: Bacteria; Bacillati; Bacillota. The record is from RNAcentral.